Long non-coding RNA from Pteropus alecto (black flying fox), 937 nucleotides. RefSeq lists it as uncharacterized. The record is from RefSeq and is a predicted model, not a curated record. NCBI's taxonomy places the organism in Eukaryota, Metazoa, Chordata, Mammalia, Chiroptera, Pteropodidae. The transcript has 3 exons.
UGGAGGAGCAAAGGUCUCCACCCUCGCUAGGGAGAGGGUCCCCUCCAUCCGCGCACCUUUCUCCCCGCCGCGGCCCUUUCCCAGAGACACCCGCUGCGGCGGCGGCGCCUCCCCUUCCACACAGCUCCUUCCCGGCCAGUUCACAAGUUCCAACGUGUUCCUGCCCCUCCGCCCCUAGCCGCGCCGAACGCCCGCAGCCCGGGAGGGGGCAGCGCCCAACCCUCUCCCUCCGGCGCACUCACCGAGGCCACGCGGGCACCGGGGAAGGACCGUCCCUCGGUCGCCCUGCCCUGCCCGGGACUGAACCCUGCACGGUCUCCCUAGGGCGCUCUACCAGGCCAUGCCCAGCGCCGUCCUUCCGGCCCGCGCACCGGGCGACAGGUGCUGCGGACGCCGCCGCUCGCCUGGAAAUGCGAGCUACCUGGACAGGAUUCACGGAAACCUUCAGUACCCAGCCACCGGCCAAAGACACCAUCAGGCAAAAAAGCGGAGCCUCCAUGUUCUCUCCUGUCUCAGUCGUGGAAGGAGGACCGCAAGCAGACUCUGGCAGCAGCCUAUGUGCCUGUGGUGGUGAACUCUAGGGGUCAGAACUCAGACAAGCUAAGGUUCAAUUUCUACACCUCCCAAUACUCCAACUCCCUGAACCCCUUCUACACCUUGCAGAAGCCUACUUGUGGCUACCUGUACCGCCGGGACACUGACCACACCCGUAAGCGCUUUGACGUGCCUCCUGCCAACAUGGUUUUGUGGCGCUCCUAGGCAGUCAGAAGCCUGUCCACCUCCACCUUCACCCCCUAACCACCAGUCUUGGAGGGGAAGGGCUGCUCACUCCAGGAGGAAUAGACCGUGCCUGGGCUAGGACAGCUGUGCCAUGCCCACUGUCAAUGAUGGUAAAGGGACUCUCUUGUAGGCAUCAAUUAAAGUUUGUCCUUCCUUU